Molecule: long non-coding RNA, 1321 nt
Filed under: Gopherus agassizii (Agassiz's desert tortoise)
Lineage: Eukaryota; Metazoa; Chordata; Testudines; Testudinidae
Description: lncRNA (ENSGAGG00000006566.1)
Source: RNAcentral
AUGCUUUCAUGCUGCCGCUUAGCUCACGAGAGGCAAGACGGAUUUCCACGUGCGGUGCGGCACGGUGCGGUGCAGCCCGCCGGAAGCUCACCCGCCACGGCCUCUCCCUCCCACGUGACACCCCGGGUAGUGCCCCGCCCCGCCCUGCAUCAAACGCCGGCCGGGGCCGCGGCGCGCGCGCUCGGUAGACUCCUCCCCUCGCCCCCUCCCUCUCUGGGGGGCGUCUCACCAUGUCGGGCAAGGAGCAGCAGUACGGGACCCCCGGCGCGAGAGCGGGGCCGGCGCGAGAGCAGGAGGCCGCGCGGCUGCAGGAGGAGUUAAAGUCUCUUCAGCAGAUGCAUUCAUCCCUGAGAGCCCUCCAUCAAAUGGUUACCUCCUGUAAUGAGGUAAACUGCAUGCACAUUUACAAAGUUCUAUGAACAUAAAUUCUCUUUGCUGGUUGGGUAUAUCUAGGCACAGCAUAACAAUUAAGAAGCAUGAUGUGGAAUGGGAAACUUUUUGAAAUCUUGAGUUUUUUUGCAGGACAGGAAGAGAGUUUCCCACCCAGCCGUAGUCCUGGUGUCCUCACAGAACACCUCGUGGGAAUCUCCCUGCACUUAUAAGAAGGGGUAUAAAGCUUGACUGUGUGCGUGUGCGUGCUGACUACAAAUGUCGCAGUUUGGCACAAGGAGGCAGACCUAUUUAGGGUUUUAUAAGUCAUAACCACCGACAUAAACUGUAUCUGGAGANUAGUUUUUUUGCAGGACAGGAAGAGUGUUUCCCACCCAGCCGUAGUCCUGGUGUCCUCACAGAACACCCUGUGGGAAUCUCCCUGCACUUAUAAGGGGUAUAAAGCUUGACUGUGUGCAUGCUGACUACAAAUGUCGCAGUUUGGCACAAGGAGGGAGACCUGUUUAGGGUUUUAUAAGUCAUAACCACCGACAUAAACUGUAUCUGGAGACCAAUGGACCACCAGUGCAGAUUCCAGAGUACUGGUGUCAUACGUCCCAAUGAAACAGUGCUCAGUUAACAGGUUUGAGUGGUAGCCAUGUUAGUCUGUAUCAGCAAAAAGAAUGAGUACUUGUGGUACCUUAGAGACUAACAAAUUUAUUUGGGCAUACUGUAUUCUGUACUAGCUUCAGUCUCCAAAAAGUUUUAAAUAAGAUCUGUGGUUUGAAUGCUUUCAAAGUGACCAAACCACUGCAGAACUCACUACAACUAGCAGUUUCUAGGUGUGGCUUAGCAUUGGAAUGGAAUCUAGAGCUAGAAAAAAGUAUUAGGUCAUCUUGUCCAUUUUCCUGGCGAUGCAAAAUUGAUAUACCACUGUUUUACAAAUUACUAG